Molecule: ribosomal RNA, 467 nt
Filed under: uncultured bacterium
Lineage: Bacteria
Description: partial 16S ribosomal RNA
Rfam family: Bacterial small subunit ribosomal RNA
Source: RNAcentral
GAUGAACGCUGGCGGCGCGCCUAACACAUGCAAGUCGAACGAUUAAAGCACCUUCGGGUGUGUAUAAAGUGGCGAACGGCUGAGUAACACGUGGGCAACCUGCCCCUUUCAUUGGGAUAGCCACGGGAAACCGUGGAUAAUACCGAAUACUUCGAGACUUCCGCAUGGAAGACUCGAGAAAGCUCCGGCGGAGAGGGAUGGGCCCGCGGCCUGUUAGCUUGUUGGUGGGGUAACGGCCUACCAAGGCAAUGAUGGGUAGCUGGGUUGAGAGACCGACCAGCCAGAUUUGGACUGAGACACGGCCCAGACUCCUACGGGAGGCAGCAGUGGGGAAUCUUGCACAAUGGGCGAAAGCCUGAUGCAGCGACGCCGCGUGCGGGAUGAAGGCCUUCGGGUUGUAAACCGCUUUCAGCAGGGACGAGGCGAAAGUGACGGUACCUGCAGAAGAAGCCCCGGCUAACUACGUG